Long non-coding RNA from Micropterus dolomieu (smallmouth bass), 432 nucleotides. RefSeq lists it as uncharacterized. The record is from RefSeq and is a predicted model, not a curated record. NCBI's taxonomy places the organism in Eukaryota, Metazoa, Chordata, Actinopteri, Centrarchiformes, Centrarchidae. The transcript is spliced from 2 exons.
CUCGACUCUUCUCGGCCCUGCUCCGUUUUCCAUUGCAGACAGUACCCAGAGAUAGCCCUUGGAUCUAAAACCCCUUCAUCUUACUCCAGAGUGUUUCCAGUUUUGGAGAAAAUGCGGACAAAGAAGUCUCCAGGCUGGUUGGGUUUGAAGGUGGACGCGACGAUCAUGUAGUUACCCGGUUCCAGACGUAGCUUCCUCCACACACCCCUAAGGGACAAAGUUAAUGAGUUAUAUUUAUUGACUUCCAACAAGCUACCAGUCAUAUAACUUUCAAUGAUCAACUAAAAGCAUUAGAUCCAAGAAAUGUUCUGUAUACAAUACAUGUUUUAUAUACUCUGUGUAGACAAUACUAUUCCUGUGUUUAAAAGCUGCAACCACGAGGACCAUGUACAACAGUACUUAAUGUUAAUUAAAUAUGUUUUAUGGAUUGUC